AGCCUUGAGAAGUUAUUUUAGGUUUGACCUGCCCAAUGCGUAAGUAAAUGGCCGCGGUACCCUGACCGUGCUAAGGUAGCGUAAUCAGUUGGCUUUUAAAUGGAGUCAGGUAUGAAUGGGAGAACCGGGCUCGGCUGUCUCAAAACUACUUUGUUGAACUUACCUUUUAGGUGAAAAGGCCUAAAUUGAGAAAAGGGACGAGAAGACCCUUAGAAUUUUUUUUAAUGGGGAAGUUUUCUUUAAUGAUUUUGUUGGGGCGAUAAUUAUACAUAUUGGAACUUCAAGUUUUAUACAUGCCGAUUUUUAUAAGAAAGAAUAAAUUACCUGAGGGAUAACAGCAUAAUUCUAUAGAAGAGUUUGUGACCUCGAUGUUGGACUAGGAAACUAACAAGCUAGCCGUUUGUUGUGUGGGUUCUGUUCGAACUAUAAAUCCU
This 434-nucleotide ribosomal RNA is filed under the name Tritonia callogorgiae. RNAcentral's name for it is "partial large subunit ribosomal RNA". It matches the Rfam family "Archaeal large subunit ribosomal RNA", at positions 1920 to 2665 of the family's 2987-position model. Lineage: Eukaryota; Metazoa; Mollusca; Gastropoda; Nudibranchia; Tritoniidae. The record is from RNAcentral.